Non-coding RNA from Pteropus alecto (black flying fox), 119 nucleotides. NCBI's taxonomy places the organism in Eukaryota, Metazoa, Chordata, Mammalia, Chiroptera, Pteropodidae. The record is from Rfam.
GUCUAUGGCCAUGCUACCCUGAACAAGCCCAAUCCCAUCUGAUCUCGGCAGCUAAGCAGGGUCGGGCCUGGUUAAUACUUGGAUGGGAAACCACCUAGGAAGACCAGGUACUGUAGGUG